UCUUCAUUUCACACACUCUCUCGCCUCUCUGACCGGUGAGAGAGUGCGUGAAAUGAAGAGA
Molecule: non-coding RNA, 61 nt
Organism: Pristionchus pacificus
Lineage: Eukaryota; Metazoa; Nematoda; Chromadorea; Rhabditida; Neodiplogasteridae
Source: Rfam